RNAcentral lists this ribosomal RNA (496 nucleotides) under uncultured bacterium. Its description in RNAcentral is "partial 16S ribosomal RNA". It matches the Rfam family "Bacterial small subunit ribosomal RNA", at positions 29 to 507 of the family's 1533-position model. The record is from RNAcentral.
AUGAACGCUGGCGGCGUGCCUAAUACAUGCAAGUCGAGCGAACAGACGAGGAGCUUGCUCCUCUGACGUUAGCGGCGGACGGGUGAGUAACACGUGGAUAACCUACCUCUAAGACUGGGAUAACUUCGGGAAACCGGAGCUAAUACCGGAUAAUAUAUUGAACCGCAUGGUUUAUUUGUGAAAGACGGUUUUGCUGUCACUUAUAGAUGGAUCCGCGCCGCAUUAGCUAGUUGGUAAGGUAACGGCUUACCAAGGCAACGAGGCGUAGCCGACCUGAGAGGGUGAUCGGCCACACUGGAACUGGGACGCGGUCCAGACUCCUACGGUAGGCAGCAGUAGGGAAUCUUCCGCAAUGGGCGAAAGCCUGACGGAGCAACGCCGCGUGAGUGAUGAAGGUCUUCGGAUCGGAAAACACUGUUAUUAGGGAAGAACAAAUGUGUAAGUAACUAUGCACGUCUUGACGGUACCUAAUCAGAAAGCCACGGCUAACUACGUG